UCUCAGCACUGGUUUCUUUAUCUGAACUUUAUCUUCAUUCAUUCAAUGACUUUAUUUUGUGUUACAUCCUGUCAUUGGCACUAAGGAUACAGUAAUUUACAUUGGAAAAAAAAAAAAAGAAUCUAAUUAUAGUGCUCCGUCUAACAUUAAAUGGAGAUGACACAGCAGAAUCUUGUUAACUUUAGGGUAGGAGGCAAGAGAAGAAAGUAGGCUUGAAACAAGGAAAGCUUUGCAAGGUGGAUUCUUUACCAACUGAGCUAUCAGGGAGUCCCAACUAAGCCUGUGGACCGCAACUCCUGAGCCUGUGCUCCAGAGCCGGGAACUGCAGCUGCUGAGCCCACACGCUGCAGCCACUGAAACCUGUGCACCUGGAGUCUGUGCUAGGCAGCAAGAGCAGCCACCGCAGUGAGAAGCCUGCACACCACGACUAGAGCGCACCUCAACGGGCCACAGCUAGAGAAAGCCCGAGCACAGCGACGAAGACCAAGUAAAGCCACAAACAAAUAAAAGACUUCUCUGGCCCUGUGUCCCAACACCUUGAUGGCAACCUCACAACAGACAAUGAGCCUCAUCUGGCUAAGCUGCUCCUGAAUUCCUGACCGACAGAAAUGAGGAAAUAAAAAGCAUUUACUGCUGUAAGCCAGCAAGGUUGUUUCGGGAUAAUUUGUGACAGAGCAAUAGAAAACCAACUGAAACAGUUUACUUGCAGAGGUCGACAUGAAUGAAAUUCUAGACCCAAGUUUCAAGUGCAGGGGCUUGGUCUUCCUAACUCAGUCCUCAGGGGUCUAAACAAUACCAACCAACCGCCUUUUAUUUCUCCAGUUUCUUUUUGAAACAUAGUAAAACUAAUUAUGGGUUAGUAGUGGAUUAACU
Bos taurus (domestic cattle) is the source of this 873-nucleotide long non-coding RNA. The record is from Ensembl. Lineage: Eukaryota; Metazoa; Chordata; Mammalia; Artiodactyla; Bovidae.